Long non-coding RNA from Eriocheir sinensis (Chinese mitten crab), 354 nucleotides. RefSeq lists it as uncharacterized. The transcript has 3 exons. The record is from RefSeq and is a predicted model, not a curated record. NCBI's taxonomy places the organism in Eukaryota, Metazoa, Arthropoda, Malacostraca, Decapoda, Varunidae.
ACAUUGCCUGCCCCUUCCACCCCCCCAUCCCCUCUGCUCACAGGUAUAUAAGGUCGCCCCAAGACAGCUGGACAUUCACUCUUCAGCCCAUUGCCGCAGAAGUAACAACUCUCCUCUCCUCUCCCUCAAGCUCACCAACCACAACCAUGCGUACAUUCACGAUCUUCUGUCUCCUGGUGGUCAUGGCUGCCUCCUCCGCCUCGGCCCUCCCUGCCCCCAUGCCUGCCCCUGUUGGACCCCCUGCUGCCAUCGAUGCGUUCAUCCCGCCAGCUGUGAAGGCGUUCAUUCCCACCCCAGAGCAGAUCGCAGCCCUCAAUGCCCUGCACACCACCACCCCUGCACCCACCCCUGUAG